This 4237-nucleotide small RNA is filed under the name Pan troglodytes (chimpanzee). RNAcentral's name for it is "retained intron". The record is from RNAcentral. Lineage: Eukaryota; Metazoa; Chordata; Mammalia; Primates; Hominidae.
AGAUCAAAACUGUUCUGAAGUAGCAUUUACAUAUUUUUUGAGUUUUUUCUUUAUUAAGAGAAAAUAUCAGUAAUUCUCAUGCUAGCAUUUACUCAAGUUAAAACUUUUUUUUAAUAGAAUUUGAAAGUUCUCUUGUGCCUCUGCAACCUCCACUUCCCGGGUUCAAGUGAUUCUCCUACCUCAGCCUCCCAAGUAGCUGGGACUACAGGUGCACACCACCACUCCUGGCUAAUUUUUGUAUUUUUAAUGGAGACGGGAUUUUACCAUGUUGGCUAGGCUGGCCUUGAACUCCUGACCUCAAGCGAUUGCCUGCCUUGGUCUCUCAAAGUGCUGGGAUUAUAGGCAUGAGCCACCAUGCCUGGCCUCUUAUGCCAAAUUUUUAUGGAAUAUGUUAAAGGGCAAUAAACAUCUGUGAAGGAAUACAGAGAAUGGAUAGAUGUAUAUCUUGAAAAUACAAUCCCUGUCCCCACGGUUAUAAAGAAAAUGCAUGUCCAUUAUAGAAAAUUGGGAACAAUGUAGAAAACAAGAAGAAAAAGAAGUCCCUCGCAGUCUCCUAUUCUGAGCCACUGUUAACAUGCCAAGUGUGUUCUCUCAGUCUUUUUCUGGGUAAGAUAGGGGUAUUUUGUCUGGUAACUUUUACUCAGGUUCUAGGAUUUGUUUAUAGUGUCAGGUUUACUGUCUUUUGGGUUCAAUGUCUGACCCUAUUGAAGUUAUUACAGACCUUAGAGACUAUUUUUAGCCGUUUUCCCCCAUUGGUGUUUCUAAGUGCUGACCAUUCUCUCUGCAUCAAAGCUAGACAUGGGCGCUUUCUUCGGUUGUAUAGAUUGUGUUUUUCUGUUGUGUGUGGCAUUUCUUCUGCCUUGUGCCUUAAGUGGUUGUGUUCCUUGACACACUACUAUGUUGCCCAGGCUGGUCUUGAACUCCUGGGCUCAAACGAUCCUCCUGCCUCUGCCCAGCAAAGUGUUGGGAUUACAGGCCUGGGCUCAAACGAUCCUCCUGCCUUGGCCCCCUGAAGUGUUGGGAUUACCAUUCCCAGCCUCUUUUUCCUGGUUCUAACUCUUUUCUGACAGUGUGAAGUCAGCUUCCAUUAUCCUCAGUGUGUCUAGUGGGUUGCUCAGUUAACUGACUUAUUCAUUCAUUGUAUUCAUUCUCCCAGCCACAUCCUCCAUCUCGUCCUGCUGCCAUCCCCUCCCUCCCACCACCGCCUGCCUGUGCUAUGCUGUAGCUCCCCAGUCUGUGCUCCUGUUCCCUGGGCCCAGGGCUCAAUUUUUGGACAGCUUCUCUCUUCUUUCUGCCUUUAGAGAUCUCACAUAAUUUUAUGAUUUUAAAUACCAUGCCCCAAAUGUAUAUAUCCCUAGCUUGGACCUGUCCCCAGAAUACUAGACUUUUAUGUCUGUCUACUCCAUAUCUCCUUUUAAGUAUCUGGAAGACCGUUUCUGCUUUUGCCUAAAACUGAACAUCUGAUCUUUCUUCCCAGACCUGCCCUUCCAGACCCAUUGAUCUCACUGCGCAGGCUGAAAGCCCUGGGCUUCUCCCCACUCUUCUCUGUUUCUUGCGUCUCACUUAAAUCCCUCAGCAGAUCUGGUGGCCAUGUCUGCUAAAUAGAGAGUCCCGCCGCCUCUCCUCGCUCUUCCUCCCUCCUGGUCCAGGUCUCGUCCCACACCUGCGUCGCCUGGCUGGGCCCCUGCUUCUGCCUCUGCCUUAGCCUGGUCUCUUCUCCUGGCAUCCAGAAUGAUCCACAGGAAACCACAGUCAGAUCAUUUCAUUCCUGUACUCAAGACCCUCCAGGGGCUUCCUGUUUUCCUCAGCAACAGCCCUGUGGAGCCGCACAAUGGGCCUGUGGCCCUCGUCAUUCCUCUGAGCUGUGUUACUACAUCCCUCCCCGGCGGUGCUGGCCUCCUCGAGUCUCCUGACUGUGCUUCUGUGUGUACUCCUCUGCUUGGAAGUCUCUUCUCCCAGUGGCCAUGGGGCUCGCGUCCUCACCUCCUGCAUUUUUUUUUUUUCCAUUUACCCUGACUUGAAGCUCACCUGCACGUCUUUAUGCUCAGAUGUCACCCUCUCAGGGAGAUCUUCCUUGCCCAUCCUAUGUGAGAUCACAGUGCCCAAGCCCACCCUCCCCCCUUCCCGUCUCCUCAUCCUGCGUCUGUUCUUUAUAGCACUUACCUCUACCUGGCGUACUUUCUUUGUUUCUUUUGCUGUCAAGUUGAAUAUAAGUUUAAGUUCCCUUCCCCUCCCAGGUCAGGGAUUUUUGUCAGUUUUCUUCACUGCUGUAUCCCUAGCACCUAUAAUAGUGCCUAUUCAGUUUUUAUAGAAUUCUGUUUUGUUGGAUACUUGUAAAUACAGGGUGAUUCUUAUUAUUUACAGUAGUUAUGCUUCAUAAAGUCACUGAGGGCUGAGCACGGUGGCUCAUGCCUGUAAUCUCAGCACUUUCGGAGGCCGAGGCAGGUGGAUCACCUGAGGUCAGGAGAUCGAGACCAGCCUGACCAACAAGGAGAAACCCCCGUCUCUACUAAAAAUACAAAAUUAGCUGAGUGUGGUGGUGCAUGCCUGUAAUCCCAACUACUCGGGAGGCGGAGGCAUGAGAAUUGCUUGAACCCAGGAGGUGGAGGUUGCGGUGGGCCGAGAUUGUGCCAUUGUAUUCCGGCCUGGGCAACAAGAGAGAGACUCUGUCUCAAAAAAAAAAAAAAAAAAAAAAAGUCACUGAAAUCUCUGAAUUACCAACUAUGGAAAAACUCACUGCUCCUAGGGGAAGUACGGGAGUUGAGUCAUUUACAUUGAGCUCCCAGCCAGCAGCUCUGUGACUCGAGCCCGAACGAAGUGUCCCUAACACACGCCACAUCUCCGUCAGGGACAUCACAGCCGUCUUGUGCUCAGGACACCAGACUGCACCUCAGCCCUACACUCGGGGCCGUUUAUACCGUGAAAUCACCAAAAAAAGCACAGAAGUGUGAAAAACAUGAUACCAAACAGACUCUGAAAAGGACACUUGGUGAUAGUCUGAGAGCAGAGAUGGGAAGGGAGGGCGUCACCUUGGUGGACUUUACCUGGGAACGCGGGCGUCGGAUGCCUAAAAGUCUUGGCUGCUCUGCACAUGACUGGAAGCGCUCCGUGGAUUGGUUUGGGGCUGUUACUACAAGUAGGUGAAUUCGUAAUUACAGAAUCCUCCAAUAAGGAGGAUUGACUGUAUUGAAUGAGUGAAUGAAUGAACGCUUUGACAGUGUUUGAGCUGCCGAAGUUCUAGAAGUUUAUACACGCAGAAAUAACACUUAUCCUUAUUCAUUCUUUGUAGGGGGAAGUCAUAAAAUGGUAUGUCUUUUUAAUAUCCUUUUGGGGAGAGCAGAUUGGCCACAAGGUUAAGAAGAUAUGUGAUUGCUACCACUGCCACGUGUACCCCUAUCCAAACACAGCCGAGGAGCGGAGGGAGAUCCAGGAGGGGCUGAACACCCGCAUCCAAGAUCUCUACACUGUACUGCACAAAACCGAGGACUAUUUGAGGCAAGUGCUAUGUAAAGCCGCCGAGUCUGUCUACAGCCGUGUGAUCCAGGUGAAGAAAAUGAAGGCCAUCUAUCACAUGCUGAACAUGUGCAGCUUUGACGUGACCAACAAGUGCCUCAUUGCUGAGGUCUGGUGUCCCGAGGCGGAUCUGCAGGACCUGCGCCGGGCACUGGAGGAGGGCUCGAGAGAGAGUGGUGCUACAAUCCCCUCAUUCAUGAAUAUAAUCCCCACAAAAGAAACACCCCCCACUCGGAUCCGCACCAACAAAUUCACCGAGGGUUUUCAGAACAUCGUGGAUGCUUAUGGAGUCGGAAGCUACAGAGAAGUCAAUCCAGCUCUCUUUACCAUCAUCACCUUCCCGUUUUUAUUUGCUGUGAUGUUUGGAGACUUCGGACAUGGCUUUGUGAUGUUUUUAUUUGCCCUCUUGUUGGUGUUAAAUGAAAAUCAUCCCAGACUAAAUCAGUCACAAGAGAUCAUGAGGAUGUUUUUUAAUGGCCGGUACAUCCUCCUGCUGAUGGGGCUGUUCUCAGUGUACACUGGCCUCAUCUACAACGACUGCUUUUCAAAGUCAGUCAACCUGUUCGGCUCCGGGUGGAACGUGUCGGCCAUGUACAGCUCCAGCCACCCACCCGCAGAGCAUAAGAAGAUGGUGCUUUGGAACGACAGCGUCGUCAGGCACAACAGCAUUUUGCAGCUGGAUCCAAGCAUUCCUGGAGUGUUCCGAGGCCCUUAUCCCCUUGGC